Molecule: ribosomal RNA, 478 nt
Filed under: uncultured bacterium
Lineage: Bacteria
Description: partial 16S ribosomal RNA
Rfam family: Bacterial small subunit ribosomal RNA
Source: RNAcentral
GAUGAACGCUGGCGGCGUGCUUAACACAUGCAAGUCGAACGAAGCACUUAACCUGAUUCUUCGGAUGAAGGUUUUUGUGACUGAGUGGCGGACGGGUGAGUAACGCGUGGGUAACCUGCCUCAUACAGGGGGAUAACAGUUAGAAAUGACUGCUAAUACCGCAUAAGACCACAGAGCCGCAUGGCUCGGUGGGAAAAACUCCGGUGGUAUGAGAUGGACCCGCGUCUGAUUAGGUAGUUGGUGGGGUAACGGCCUACCAAGCCAACGAUCAGUGGCCGACCUGAGAGGGUGACCGGCCACAUUGGGACUGAGACACGGCCCAAACUCCUACGGGAGGCAGCAGUGGGGAAUAUUGCACAAUGGGGGAAACCCUGAUGCAGCGACGCCGCGUGAGCGAAGAAGUAUUUCGGUAUGUAAAGCUCUAUCAGCAGGGAAGAAAAUGACGGUACCUGACUAAGAAGCACCGGCUAAAUACGUG